CCUACGGGAGGCAGCAGUGGGGAAUAUUGCGCAAUGGGCGAAAGCCUGACGCAGCGACGCCGCGUGAGGGAUGAAGGUCUUCGGAUCGUAAACCUCUGUCAGCAGGGAAGAACGGUCACUGUGCUAAUCAGCAGUGAAUUGACGGUACCUGCAAAGGAAGCACCGGCUAACUCCGUGCCAGCAGCCGCGGUAAUACGGAGGGUGCGAGCGUUAAUCGGAAUUACUGGGCGUAAAGCGCUCGUAGGCGGUAUGUCAAGUCAAGGGUGAAAUCCCCGCGCUCAACGUGGGAACUGCCUUUGAAACUGGCAGACUGGAGUGUGUGAGAGGAUAGUGGAAUUCGAGGUGUAGGAGUGAAAUCCGUAGAUAUCUGGAGGAACAUCAGUGGCGAAGGCGACUAUCUGGCACAUAACUGACGCUGAGGAGCGAGAGCGUGGGUAGCAAACAGGAUUAGAUACCCCGGUAGUC
This 465-nucleotide ribosomal RNA is filed under the name uncultured bacterium. RNAcentral describes it as "partial 16S ribosomal RNA". It matches the Rfam family "Bacterial small subunit ribosomal RNA", at positions 338 to 795 of the family's 1533-position model. The record is from RNAcentral.